This 360-nucleotide ribosomal RNA is filed under the name uncultured cyanobacterium. RNAcentral describes it as "bacterial SSU rRNA". It matches the Rfam family "Bacterial small subunit ribosomal RNA", at positions 408 to 784 of the family's 1533-position model. Lineage: Bacteria; Bacillati; Cyanobacteriota. The record is from RNAcentral.
AGGAAGGCUCUUGGGUUGUAACCUCUUUUCUCAGGGAAGAACAAAUGACGGUACCUGAGGAAUAAGCAUCGGCUAACUCCGUGCCAGCAGCCGCGGUAAUACGGAGGAUGCAAGCGUUAUCCGGAAUGAUUGGGCGUAAAGCGUCCGCAGGUGGCAUUGAAAGUCUGCUGUCAAAGAGUCUGGCUCAACCAGAUAAAGGCAGUGGAAACUACAAAGCUAGAGUACGUUCGGGGCAGAGGGAAUUCCUGGUGUAGCGGUGAAAUGCGUAAAGAUCAAGAAAAACACCGGUGGCGAAAGCGCUCUGCUUGGCCGUAACUGACACUGAAGGACGAAAGCUAGGGGAGCGAAAGGGAUUAGAUA